RNAcentral lists this long non-coding RNA (381 nucleotides) under Brassica rapa (field mustard). RNAcentral's name for it is "long non-coding RNA (BRAP_LNC001170)". Lineage: Eukaryota; Viridiplantae; Streptophyta; Magnoliopsida; Brassicales; Brassicaceae. The record is from RNAcentral.
AUUCCCAAGGUGCGCCGCUCAGAUGAAUCUCCUCCGCUCCAACGCCGCCGUUCUUUCCCCUUCCCUCUGAAGCAGCUCCUCUCCCUCUCCAUGGUCCUGAUGGUGACUCCUUUUCCGUCACGGUUCAGACCUCCUCCAGAUCCACCUCCUACAGAUCUGCCGACGUGGUCGCUGUGUAAGUCUCGUCCGUUUAAAGCUCGCUUCCUCAUCGUCCCUCCAGAACCUCCAGAACCCCCAGACGUUCCCCUUCUCCUCGCUCCUCUCCUUCAAACCCUCGAAUCCUCCAUCAAUCCCGUCGUCUUCCUCCCCCGUUGCACCUCUCCGGUUCCUGUUGCUGUAGCUUCUCCUCUGAGGUUCUUUGCAUCGACCAUUGGUUUAACC